RNAcentral lists this ribosomal RNA (792 nucleotides) under uncultured Lactobacillus sp. RNAcentral describes it as "bacterial SSU rRNA". It matches the Rfam family "Bacterial small subunit ribosomal RNA", at positions 28 to 776 of the family's 1533-position model. Lineage: Bacteria; Bacillati; Bacillota; Bacilli; Lactobacillales; Lactobacillaceae. The record is from RNAcentral.
GAUGAACGCCGGCGGUGUGCCUAAUACAUGCAAGUCGAACGCGUUGGCCCAAUUGAUUGACGGUGCUUGCACCUGAUUGAUUUUGGUUGCCAACGAGUGGCGGACGGGUGAGUAACACGUAGGUAACCUGCCCAGAAGAGGGGGACAACAUUUGGAAACAGAUGCUAAUACCGCAUAACAGCGUUGUUCGCAUGAACAACGCUUAAAAGAUGGCCUCUCGCUAUCACUUCUGGAUGGACCUGCGGUGCAUUAGCUUGUUGGUGGGGUAACGGCCUACCAAGGCGAUGAUGCAUAGCCGAGUUGAGAGACUGAUCGGCCACAAUGGGACUGAGACACGGCCCAUACUCCUACGGGAGGCAGCAGUAGGGAAUCUUCCACAAUGGGCGCAAGCCUGAUGGAGCAACACCGCGUGAGUGAAGAAGGGUUUCGGCUCGUAAAGCUCUGUUGUUAAAGAAGAACACGUAUGAGAGUAACUGUUCAUACGUUGACGGUAUUUAACCAGAAAGUCACGGCUAACUACGUGCCAGCAGCCGCGGUAAUACGUAGGUGGCAAGCGUUAUCCGGAUUUAUUGGGCGUAAAGAGAGUGCAGGCGGUUUUCUAAGUCUGAUGUGAAAGCCUUCGGCUUAACCGGAGAAGUGCAUCGGAAACUGGAUAACUUGAGUGCAGAAGAGGGUAGUGGAACUCCAUGUGUAGCGGUGGAAUGCGUAGAUAUAUGGAAGAACACCAGUGGCGAAGGCGGCUACCUGGUCUGCAACUGACGCUGAGACUCGAAAGCAUGGGUAGCGAACAGG